AGCCUCCUGGUGCUAAACAGAGUCUGUGUUCUUUACACCGACUAUAGGAAGAGGAAGGAAGUAAUUCCACCCCAUUAUACACCUCAGCCAGGACCUUUGCCUGAUCUACAUUGUUAAUGGAGAUAUAGGG
Small nucleolar RNA from Sorex araneus (European shrew), 130 nucleotides. RefSeq annotates it as small nucleolar RNA SNORA51. The record is from RefSeq and is a predicted model, not a curated record. The transcript has a single exon. NCBI's taxonomy places the organism in Eukaryota, Metazoa, Chordata, Mammalia, Eulipotyphla, Soricidae.